AGAACAUGAUGACAAGCCUUUGGAUACUUAUAGAUGCACAGCCAAUUCAGCAAAUUUUCAGCCUAGAAAAUAUGCUAAUGCAGUUUCUGAAGCCAAGGCUCAACCUAGUCUUGAUACUGUUCUCUCACAAAAAGGGAAAAAUAAUGAUUUGAUGGAG
Dioscorea cayenensis subsp. rotundata (Guinea yam) is the source of this 157-nucleotide long non-coding RNA. RefSeq lists it as uncharacterized. The record is from RefSeq and is a predicted model, not a curated record. Lineage: Eukaryota; Viridiplantae; Streptophyta; Magnoliopsida; Dioscoreales; Dioscoreaceae. The transcript is spliced from 3 exons.